CCUCCCUCUCCCCGGGUCCCUAGUGGGAGAAGAGGAGGAGGAGAAGGAGAGCUUGUAGCUUCUUCUCCAACACCCCUGAAGUCUUAGGGCUGCCCUGGAUUCCUCCCGGGGCGGCAGAGGACAGCGCGCAGAAGUGAGCACCUCCAGAGCCUGGCCGGGAUGUGCAGAGUCCCGGGAUUCCCGAGAGCGAGAGCCAAAGCCGUGAGCCCCACUUGGCUUGCGCGACGCUCGUGGUCCGCGCUGCCCGGGCUGCUGCCGCUGCUGUUUCUGCACGCACUCCCGUGGACCGGAGUGAGCUCCUGGAAGCUCACCAUCCUGCACACCAAUGACCUGCACAGCCGGCUGGAGCAGACCAGCGAUGACUCUGGCAAAUGCUUGGUCGUUCCGAAGUGCGUGGGCGGCGUGGCGCGCUUGUACACCAAGGUCCAGGAGAUCCGCCGAGCCGAGCCCAACGUGCUGCUACUGGAUGCCGGGGACCAGUACCAGGGAACUGUGUGGUUCACCGUCUACAAGGGCGCCGAGGUGGCUCAUUUCAUGAAUGCCUUGGGUUACAAUGCUAUGGCCCUGGGAAACCAUGAAUUUGAUAAUGGAGUGGAGGGACUGUUGAAUCCAUUACUUAAGGAAGUCAAGUUUUCAGUUCUCAGUGCUAACAUUAAAGCCCAGGAACCACUUGCAUCUCAAAUAUCUGGAUAUUAUCUUCCAUAUGAAAUUCUAAACUUUGGUCAAGAGAAAGUGGGAAUUGUUGGGUAUACCUCCAAGGAGACACCUGUCCUUUCAAAACCAGGAAAAUAUUUAAUAUUUGAAGAUGAAAUCCCUUCCUUGCAGAUCCAAGUGGAUAAGCUGAAAACAUAUGGAGUGAACAAAAUUAUUGCCUUGGGCCACUCAGGUUUUGAAAUGGAUAAGCUCAUUGCUCAAAAGGUGAAAGGUGUGGAUGUUGUAGUUGGAGGACACACAAACACGUUUCUCUAUACAGGCCGUCCUCUUCCAUCCAAGGAAGUGCCUGCUGGGGACUAUCCAUUCAUAGUCACAGCUGAUGAUGGGCGGAAGGUCCCAGUUGUUCAAGCCUAUGCAUUUGGAAAAUAUCUAGGGUAUCUACAGGUUGAAUUCAACAAUGAAGGAAAUGUAGUCACAUCACAUGGAAAUCCUAUCCUCCUUAACAGCAGCAUCCAAGAAGAUCCAGGAAUAAAAGCAGAAAUCGACAGGUGGAGGGUAAAACUGGACAAUUAUUCUAAGCAGGAGUUAGGGAAAACCAUUGUUUAUCUGAAUGGCUCUACACAAUCCUGCCGUUUUAGGGAAUGCAACAUGGGGAAUUUGAUUUGUGAUGCUAUGAUUAACAACAACCUUAGACAUCCUGAUGAAAUGACUUGGAACCAUGUUUCCAUGUGCAUCCUGAACUCAGGAGGCAUUCGAGCCCCCAUUGAUGAACAGAACAAUGGUACAAUCACAUGGGAAAACCUCGCUGCUGUGUUGCCCUUUGGGGGCACUUUUGACCUAAUUGAGUUAAAAGGCUCCACUUUGAAAAAGGCCUUUGAGCACAGCGUGCAUCGAUAUGGCCAAUCCUCUGGAGAAUUCCUGCAGGUGGGCGGAAUCCAUGUAGUAUACGAUCUGAAACAAAGCCCUGGGCAUAGAGUGAGUAGUAUAGAUGUCCUUUGUACCAAGUGCCGAGAGCCAAUUUAUGUACCUCUCCAAAUGGAUGAAGUCUACAAGAUUGUCCUCCCAAGCUUUCUCGCUGAAGGAGGGGAUGGAUUCCAAAUGAUUAAAGAUGAAUCCUUGAAGCAUGAUUCUGGUGACCAAGAUAUCAAUGUAGUUUCUGAAUACAUCAACAAAAUGAGGGUGGUUUAUCCAGCAGUUGAAGGCCGGAUCAGAUUUUCUUCAGGCAGUCACCUUCAAGCAAACCUCUUCAUCUUCUCUGUCAUAGCUUUGGCAUUGAGUUUGGUUCUUUACCAGUAACUGAGUUUUUUCGUGAAAUUUAUAGGCAUGGGGGAAAAAAACUGAUUGCUCUACAAGUGUUAAAAAAAAACAAACACCAAAACUUUGGACAGUGGUUAAGGUUCUGAUUUGUGCUCAGUUACCUACCAUUAUGAAAGUACAGAAGUCUCCUUGAAGCUAAUGAAGUUUCCUGAAUACUGUAACAACUCAUUAAUUCAGGAUGGAGGGCUGCUUGCUCCAUCUGCCUCGAGCACUCUUUUCUACAUCAUUACUGGGAUCCGAAAUAGCAACAUGCAGGUUUUGCUCCAAAUGAAUUCGACCCAAGCCUUCUUUCAGCCAAAGACAAGGUUUGUUAAAGAUCUGCCAUAUCGGCCAGACUCUUAAGGAAUCCGAACAUUUGUGACACUUGUAUGGGCAAGUGGGCUAGAGUGAAUCUCAGCCGUUGGCCAGAUCGAAUCUGAGCACCUUAGCGGAGACAUGAUGGAUCUUAUAUACAGAAAGACUGUGGGAGAGAUCUAGGAGUGGCCAAGGAGUCUAAGGUAACUGUGAGGAGGGGUCUAGGGAGGAUCUGUAUGGGAGUGGCCAAUAAGUUGGAGUGUAGGACGCCAAGAACCUGGACCACAUGGCCAAGGGAGUCUGACAUCUAGAGAGGAUCGAGGACUGUAGGUCUAGGGUGGGGCCAGGGGCAGACAAUUGAUGGGGUGCUUGGGUGCUUGUAAUAGGAUCCCAAUCUUGACCAUAUUUCUCCCUAGCCUCAGAAACACUAUCCCUGGCAGUUUCUCCCCUGCCCAAGGACACUAUGCCUGGCAGUAUAAUAUUCAUGAGGGGCCUCAGCAAUACACUUAUCUCUCUCCCUGGCACAGUUACAAACCGCACCUGUAGGAGUUAUUAGUUUGAACUGGCUUUGUACUGGCUCAUAAAGAUAUUCGUACCCAUUGGACUAUCUAUAACAACUCCUUACCUCAUUAUCUGCAUCCUGGACUCUUCAUGUGUAUCCUAGACUUAAGACAUAUGUAUACUCCCUACAUCUAUCUUAUCAAACAAGACUGAUUGGUGGCAGGCUGGACGACUCUCAGUCAGCCCUGAUGGAUAGAUAACUUAGUGACGUAGCAGACCUAAAAACCACACCUCCCUGUAGCUCCCUCUUCUGUUUUUCCUGGUGAACUUUGGGCAAAAUGCCUGAAUGGUAGAUAUAAAAAGUGCAUGUUCCUUUAAGACGUAACCACUCUUUUUUUU
Vombatus ursinus (common wombat) is the source of this 3165-nucleotide RNA transcript. It is a transcript of the gene named 5'-nucleotidase ecto, with no coding region annotated. The transcript is spliced from 10 exons. The record is from RefSeq and is a predicted model, not a curated record. Lineage: Eukaryota; Metazoa; Chordata; Mammalia; Diprotodontia; Vombatidae.